UGGGGGAAUUUUGGACAAUGGGGGAAACCCUGAUCCAGCCAUCCCGCGUGUGCGAUGAAGGCCUUCGGGUUGUAAAGCACUUUUGGCAGGAAAGAAACGUCGCGGGUUAAUACCCCGCGAAACUGACGGUACCUGCAGAAUAAGCACCGGCUAACUACGUGCCAGCAGCCGCGGUAAUACGUAGGGUGCAAGCGUUAAUCGGAAUUACUGGGCGUAAAGCGUGCGCAGGCGGUUCGGAAAGAAAGAUGUGAAAUCCCAGAGCUUAACUUUGGAACUGCAUUUUUAACUACCGGGCUAGAGUGUGUCAGAGGGAGGUGGAAUUCCGCGUGUAGCAGUGAAAUGCGUAGAUAUGCGGAGGAACACCGAUGGCGAAGGCAGCCUCCUGGGAUAACACUGACGCUCAUGCACGAAAGCGUGGGGAGCAAACAGGAUUAGAUACCCUGGUAGUCCACGCCCCUAAACGAUGUCAACUAGCUGUUGGGGGCCUUCGGGCCUUGGUAGCGCAGCUAACGCGUGAAGUUGACCGCCUGGGGAGUNCGGUCGCAAGAUUAAAACUUAAAUGAAUUGACGGGGGUCAUAGCUGUUUUCCCU
This 591-nucleotide ribosomal RNA is filed under the name uncultured bacterium. RNAcentral's name for it is "partial 16S ribosomal RNA". It matches the Rfam family "Bacterial small subunit ribosomal RNA", at positions 354 to 940 of the family's 1533-position model. The record is from RNAcentral.